GACGAACGCUGGCGGCGUGCUUAACACAUGCAAGUCGAACGGAAUGCUCUUGACUGAUGUUUCGGCCAAUGGAUUGAGUUACUUAAUGGCGGACUGGUGAAUAACGCGUGAGGAACCUGCCUUUCAAAGGGGGACAACAGCUGGAAACGGCUGCUAAUACCGCAUGACGCAUGACCGGGGCAUCCCGGACAUGCCAAAGAUUUUAUCGCUGAAAGAUGGCCUCGCGUCUGAUUAGAUAGUUGGCGGGGUAACGGCCCACCAAGUCAACGAUCAGUAGCCGGACUGAGAGGUUGACCGGCCACAUUGGGACUGAGAUACGGCCCAGACUCCUACGGGAGGCAGCAGUGGGGAAUAUUGGGCAAUGGACGCAAGUCUGACCCAGCAACGCCGCGUGAAGGAAGAAGGCUUUCGGGUUGUAAACUUCUUUUGUCAGGGAACAGUACAAGAGGGUACCUGAGUAAUAAGCCACGGCUAACUACCUGCCAGCCGCCGCGGUAAUACGUAGGUGGCAAGCGUUGUCCGGAUUUACUGGGUGUAAAGGGGGUGUAGCCGGAGAGACAAGUCAUAUGUGAAAUCCGCGGGCUCAACCCGCGAAUUGCAUUUGAAACUGUUUCCCUUGAGUUUCGGAGAGGUAACCGGAAUUCUUAGUGUAGCGGUGAAAUGCGUAGAUAUUAGGAAGACCACCAGUGGGGAAGGCGGGUUACUGGAGGCCAACUGACGAUGAGGCGGGAAAGCGUGGGGAGCAAA
RNAcentral lists this ribosomal RNA (747 nucleotides) under uncultured bacterium. Its description in RNAcentral is "bacterial SSU rRNA". It matches the Rfam family "Bacterial small subunit ribosomal RNA", at positions 28 to 772 of the family's 1533-position model. The record is from RNAcentral.